AUGUCGCUUCCUCCAGGAAGCCCCCCUGCCCAGUUCAGGGACGCCAGCUCUGGCUCCGGUGGGUCCUGCCCUUCCUUCCCCUCGGUGGCAGGACCCCCAGCCCAGCCCAGCCCCGUGUCCCGCGCACGCUGGGGCAGGGCCUGCGGGGGCCACCUGAGCCGCUCCUCCGGAACACGGGAGGGGGCCUGGCGGCAGCCCGCGCCCACCCCCGGCCCCGCCGCCUGCAGACCCUGCCUGGGAGGGGCGAGGAAAGGGUUAACUGUUCCUGGCGGCCUCGUGCUGUGUCUGCGGCAGCUCCCCCUUCCGGGGCCGCUGCAGCCGGCGUUGGCGAGGAAUGCGUGCAAUGCAGCCACGCGGGCGGCGGCAGGCGGCCGCCGGACCGGUCCCCGGUUGAGCAAUCGCCCCGCCGGUUCCUGUAACUCCAGCCCCUCCCGCCUCCCCCGCCCGCCGGCUUCCGCCCACCCCACCCCCGCCCGCCGGGGCCCUGGGGUCGCCACGGAGGGCCGGAGAGAGCGGGCGGGGAGCGGGCAGCUCGGCCCAGAGAGGCCGGGGCCUCAGCCGACGUCACACAGCCUGGGAGGCACCAGAGAAUUGGGCAACAGCCUGGGUUUGGCCUUCUGUGCCCACGCUGCAGCGGUGCACGGUGUGCACACGCACACGCGCGCACACACGCGCACACAGCGGCAGGUGAGGAGGCACAGAACCCGGUCGGUGAGCCAAGUGCUGGCCAGGCUGACCCCUCCGAGGAAGGAACAGAGAGGCCGGUGCACUUGUCCGGGGCCGCCCAGCUCUGAGGCCGCCCAGGCUGGCGGGGAACGCAGGCCAGCUGGCUCCAGGACCUGUGUUCGCAGCUCCAGAAGAAAGGGCCGGGCCACCUGGGCUGGGCGGCUUGGAGGGGGCGUGGCAAAGUGGGGGCAGCGCCCCCGGGACCCCCGGGACCCCGGAGUGACAGCCUCUUUCCCCAGGGCAGGCCGCUGGCGGAGGCGGAGGGCGGUGCCGCCCGGUGGCGGCUCCUCGCCCGCCGAGAAGGACCCCCCCCCGCCGGCUGGCGUGGACAGAUGGACAGAGCAGCCCCCACCCCCACCCCGCUCGCGGCGCUGCCCCGCGUCGCCACCUCCUCCCGAGCAGGUUUCCUUUAAGAAGCCAGAAGAUUGAUUUCCUGGCGGGCUCUGCGCCGAGGAGCCGUCCAAAUGGUUUGCGUGUCUGCAUUUUUUACUGCUCCGUUUAA
This 1228-nucleotide long non-coding RNA is filed under the name Oryctolagus cuniculus (rabbit). Its description in RNAcentral is "lncRNA (ENSOCUG00000038189.1)". The record is from RNAcentral. Lineage: Eukaryota; Metazoa; Chordata; Mammalia; Lagomorpha; Leporidae.